AUGAGAGGUCCUGCCUGCCCAGUGACUCUGUUAAACGGCCGCGGUAUCCUAACCGUGCAAAGGUAGCGUAAUCACUUGUCUUUUAAUUAAAGACCCGUAUGAAUGGCAAAACGAGGGCUUAACUGUCUCUUUAUUCUAGUUAAUAAAAUUGAUCCUCCUGUGAAAAAGCAGGAAUAUAAACAUAAGACGAGAAGACCCUGUGGAGCUUUAGACAAACCAGGAAAACUUUUAAACCUAAAAUAAACAGAUUACUUAAGUCUUCACCUCGGAAGUGUCUUUGGUUGGGGCGACCGUGGGACACUAAAUAACUCCCACAAAGAAGAAAUAACCCUUUUUUAAACUAAUAUUUCAAAUAAAAGCCACAAAAUUUUUGACAUACAGACCCGGCUUGCCGAUCAACGAAACGAGUUACCCCAGGGAUAACAGCGCAAUCCUCUUUAAGAGUUCUUAUCGACAAGAGGGUUUACGACCUCGAUGUUGGAUCAGGACAUCCUAAUGGUGUAGCUGCUAUUAAGGGUUUGUUUGUUCAACGAUUAAAGUCC
RNAcentral lists this ribosomal RNA (542 nucleotides) under Callionymus lyra (dragonet). Its description in RNAcentral is "partial 16S ribosomal RNA". It matches the Rfam family "Bacterial large subunit ribosomal RNA", at positions 1845 to 2596 of the family's 2925-position model. The record is from RNAcentral. Lineage: Eukaryota; Metazoa; Chordata; Actinopteri; Syngnathiformes; Callionymidae.